AUACUUACCUGGACGGGGUUAAUGGGCGAUCAAGAAGGCUCAUGGCCUAGAUUAGUGGCCUCCAUUGCACUUAGGAGGAACGCUCGUCUACCAUCUCCCCAAGUGGGAGAGUGGACGUCAUAAUUUGUGGCAGAGGGGGUACGCGUUCGCGCGGCCCCUA
Oryza sativa (Asian cultivated rice) is the source of this 160-nucleotide small nuclear RNA. It matches the Rfam family "U1 spliceosomal RNA". From Rfam's summary of the family: U1 is a small nuclear RNA (snRNA) component of the spliceosome (involved in pre-mRNA splicing). Its 5' end forms complementary base pairs with the 5' splice junction, thus defining the 5' donor site of an intron. The record is from Rfam. NCBI's taxonomy places the organism in Eukaryota, Viridiplantae, Streptophyta, Magnoliopsida, Poales, Poaceae.